This 203-nucleotide long non-coding RNA is filed under the name Elaeis guineensis (African oil palm). RNAcentral describes it as "long non-coding RNA (EGUI_LNC071146)". Lineage: Eukaryota; Viridiplantae; Streptophyta; Magnoliopsida; Arecales; Arecaceae. The record is from RNAcentral.
AUUGUCGAUCCGGAGAGUGAUCUCACCUUCCCUCAGUCUCCUUACUUCUUCAAGACUCUGCAUUGAAGUGCACAAAUGAGCAUUUGAAUCAGAAUCAAGAAUCCAACUAGAAAAAGAGGAAACCAUUAGAUUAGUUUUAAUAACGAGCAACUCAGAUGUACCUUCAGAAGACCCAUUCUUCUUUCUGCUCUUGACAAUCGCCA